RNAcentral lists this ribosomal RNA (350 nucleotides) under uncultured bacterium. Its description in RNAcentral is "bacterial SSU rRNA". It matches the Rfam family "Bacterial small subunit ribosomal RNA", at positions 8 to 334 of the family's 1533-position model. The record is from RNAcentral.
AGGGUUUGAUUCUGGCUCAGGACGAACGCUGGCGGCGUGCCUAAUACAUGCAAGUCGAACGAAACUUUCUUACACCGAAUGCUUGCAUUCACCGUAAGAAGUUGAGUGGCGGACGGGUGAGUAACACGUGGGUAACCUGCCUAAAAGAAGGGGAUAACACUUGGAAACAGGUGCUAAUACCGUAUAUCUCUAAAGAUCGCAUGAUCUUUAGAUGAAAGAUGGUUCUGCUAUCGCUUUUAGAUGGACCCGCGGCGUAUUAACUAGUUGGUGGGGUAACGGCCUACCAAGGUGAUGAUACGUAGCCGAACUGAGAGGUUGAUCGGCCACAUUGGGACUGAGACACGGCCCAA